GGGGAUGUGCCAUAAGUUAGAGUGGAGGUCAGUAUCCAAACUAUUGGGGCUGCUGAAUCGAGUCGUACAGAGGUUGUUUCGAUCAUUGAGCUGAGCCAAGGAAUGGGAGAACAUAGUUCAACUACCCUCCACAUUCCUGUCGACAUUCCUUUGAUUGAGCCUUCCUCAGGUGCAGCUAAGGAUAUGCCAAGAGUCGAAG
Molecule: long non-coding RNA, 199 nt
Filed under: Elaeis guineensis (African oil palm)
Lineage: Eukaryota; Viridiplantae; Streptophyta; Magnoliopsida; Arecales; Arecaceae
Description: long non-coding RNA (EGUI_LNC051244)
Source: RNAcentral